This is a long non-coding RNA of Scomber japonicus (chub mackerel), 196 nucleotides long. RefSeq lists it as uncharacterized. The record is from RefSeq and is a predicted model, not a curated record. Lineage: Eukaryota; Metazoa; Chordata; Actinopteri; Scombriformes; Scombridae. The transcript is spliced from 3 exons.
CAUGCGCUGGUGGAUGGCAAGGAGCUCGUUGCCAGAUAGAGCCUGUUCAGUGUCAGAAGCCAUGUAUGAACGGUGGAGUGUGUGUGGGCUUCAACAGGUGCCGCUGUGCCAAAGGAUUUACAGGAAGUCUCUGUGAAACAGCGGUGACCACCCCCUGUGUGCCACCCUGCCGGCAUGGAGCCACCUGCAGUCCCCA